Molecule: ribosomal RNA, 497 nt
Filed under: uncultured bacterium
Lineage: Bacteria
Description: partial 16S ribosomal RNA
Rfam family: Bacterial small subunit ribosomal RNA
Source: RNAcentral
GACGAACGCUGGCGGCGUGCCAAAUACAUGCAAGUUGAGCGCUGAAGGUUGGUACUUGUACCAACUGGAUGAGCAGCGAACGGGUGAGUAACGCGUGGGGAAUCUGCCUUUGAGCGGGGGACAACAUUUGGAAACGAAUGCUAAUACCGCAUAAAAACUUUAAACACAAGUUUUAAGUUUGAAAGAUGCAAUUGCAUCACUCAAAGAUGAUCCCGCGUUGUAUUAGCUAGUUGGUGAGGUAAAGGCUCACCAAGGCGAUGAUACAUAGCCGACCUGAGAGGGUGAUCGGCCACAUUGGGACUGAGACACGGCCCAAACUCCUACGGGAGGCAGCAGUAGGGAAUCUUCGGCAAUGGACGAAAGUCUGACCGAGCAACGCCGCGUGAGUGAAGAAGGUUUUCGGAUCGUAAAACUCUGUUGGUAGAGAAGAACGUUGGUGAGAGUGGAAAGCUCAUCAAGUGACGGUAACUACCCAGAAAGGGACGGCUAACUACGUG